Molecule: non-coding RNA, 616 nt
Organism: Piliocolobus tephrosceles (Ugandan red Colobus)
Lineage: Eukaryota; Metazoa; Chordata; Mammalia; Primates; Cercopithecidae
Source: the annotation of a RefSeq genome assembly
GUCACAGCCCACACACUGCAGCCCUGUGCCCCUCACACCCAGCAGGUUCCUGCUCUAGCACAGCUCCUGGACUGGCCUCAGGUGCUGGCCCCGGGGUUUCGAUCCAAGCAUAAUUCAUGGAAGCAUGUGUUUGGCAGCGGGACCCAGCUCACUGUUUUAGGUCAGCCCAAGGCCACCCCCUCGGUCACUCUGUUCCUGCCAUCCUUUGAGGAGCUCCAAGCCAACAAGGCCACGCUGGUGUGUCUCAUGAGUGACUUCUAUCCGGGAAUCUUAACGGUGACCUGGAAGAUGGAUGGUACCCCCAUCACCCAGGGCGUGGAGAUGACCACACCCUCCAAACAGAGCAAGAAGUACACAGCCAGCAGCUACCUGAGCCUGAUGCCCGAGCAGUGGAGGUCCCGCAGAAGCUACAGCUGCCAGGUCACGCAUGAAGGGAGCACCGUGGAGAAGACAGUGGACCCUGCAGAAUGUUCGUAGGUUCCCAACCCUCACCCCAGCCACAGGGGCCUGGAGCUGCAGGAUCCCAGGGGAGGGGUCUCUCUGCAUCCCAAGCCAGCCAGCCCUUCUCCCUGUACCCAGUAAACCCUCAAUAAAUAUCCUCACGGUCAACCAGAAA